AUCUCGAUCUUUGUCCUCGAACUUCUCGUCGGAUAUAUGUGUGGGCCAAUGAUCAAGAUUUUGAGGUGAAUCUUAGCAGCAAGCAUCAUCUAGAUGUCUUGCUCUUUCUACACCAAAAUAGGCCUCGGCUGUGUGCAUCAUUUGGAUGUCUUGCUUCUUCUGCGAGAAAAGUCUCGUCACUAUAACCCCAAUUUAGAUCCCCUGGAGCC
This 209-nucleotide long non-coding RNA is filed under the name Elaeis guineensis (African oil palm). RNAcentral describes it as "long non-coding RNA (EGUI_LNC035339)". Lineage: Eukaryota; Viridiplantae; Streptophyta; Magnoliopsida; Arecales; Arecaceae. The record is from RNAcentral.